Pristis pectinata (smalltooth sawfish) is the source of this 1050-nucleotide long non-coding RNA. RefSeq lists it as uncharacterized. The transcript is spliced from 3 exons. The record is from RefSeq and is a predicted model, not a curated record. NCBI's taxonomy places the organism in Eukaryota, Metazoa, Chordata, Chondrichthyes, Rhinopristiformes, Pristidae.
CGCGGAGCCGCUCAGUAGUGCGGAGGCGAAGCGCACGGUCGUAGAGUAAAGCCCAGCACUUUCUCCACUCACCCGUGCCGGACAGAGCAGGACGAUAACAGACUGGGAGGAGCCCAUUGGUCACCUCUCGGAGCCGUGGCUCACUUCCACACUUUGAUAAGCUCGUUCCAUCUACUCACCACCCUCUGUGUGGAAAAACCUGCCCCUCAGAUCUCUUCAAACCUUUCCCCUGUAGCAGUCAGGACAAUGUCAAAUCUCCCAUCACACUUUGGGAGGAUAUUCUGCUGCCUGGGAAAAGAUGUUGGAAACCACAGAACAAAGAAGCAUAGUGAAGGAAGGUCAUGGAAUCAACAUCUGAUGUUGCCAUGAGCUGCUCAGUUUUUCCAGCAUUCGCUAUUACUCUGCCCGAGACCACAAGAAACUGCAGGGAGUUGUGCACAGCUCAGCACAUCACGGAAACCAGCCUCCUCUCCAUGGACUCUGUCUACAUUUCUUGAUACCUCGGUAAAGCAGCCAACAUAAUCAAAGACCCCACCCACCCUGGAUAUUCUCUCUUCUCCCCUUUCCCAUCGGGCAGAAGAUACAAAAGCCUGAAAGCACAUCCCACUAGACUCAAGGACAGCUUCUACCUCACUGUUAUAAGACUAUUGAACGGUCCCCCAGCAUGAUAAGAUGGACUCUUGACUUCACAAUCUAUCUCGUUAUGACCUUGCACCUUAUUGUCUGCCUGCACUGCACUUUCUCUGUAGCUGUGACACUUUAUUCUGCAUUCCGUUAUUGCUUUCCCUUGUACUACCUCGAUGUACUGAUGCGAUAAAAUGAUCUGUAUGGAUGGCAUGCAAAACAAAGUUUGUCACUGUACCUCGGUAUAUGUGACAAUAAUGAACCAAUUUACCUCAAAUUUACCUCAGUUUAAUUCCAGGAUCCAAAGGGAGAUUCCCUACUCCACAUGGUGAAGUGCAGAAUGAAGUAUUGCUAGCAGUGCUCUUGGGAGACACAAAAGUUAUUUGUCUUAUGUUGAGAAAUGCUGGCAGUUCCAUGUAACCUCAA